Molecule: long non-coding RNA, 262 nt
Filed under: Prunus persica (peach)
Lineage: Eukaryota; Viridiplantae; Streptophyta; Magnoliopsida; Rosales; Rosaceae
Description: long non-coding RNA (PPER_LNC001815)
Source: RNAcentral
CAUUGUUGGACACACAGAGGGUGCAUCUCUUGCUAUUGUCUUCUGCCUUCACCCCCUACACCUGAGGUGCGUGCUUGUGAUUUUCAAUCAUGUGCUUCAGUAGUGCUUGAGGAUCAUUACAGGAGAACUCAUAGCAGUAGCCGCAGAAAAUCUCGUCCUCAUAGGGAUUCAUACUAAUUUUCAACUAAUAAGAGAACUCAUAGCAGUAGCUGCAUAUAUAAAGAUAUAGUAUACAACCCACUCAAUAAAUGGAUGGGCCAGG